GAUGUACUUUGAUUGGUUCUACGUAUUAUAUAAGGAGCAUCAGGUAAUGGCUGAAGGUUUGAAGAUCCUGGCUCAGAUUGAACGCUGGCGGGAUGCUUUACGCUACAAGUCGGGCGGCGGCGGACUUCGUGAAUCACGGUGGCAUUGUGAGCAGUUGAAGUAGCCAUGUCGAACGUGCCUAGUAGCGGAGAACAACUACGCGAAAGCGUAGCUAAUACCGCAUACGCCCUUCGAGGAAAGCAGGGGGACCUUCUGGGCCUCGCACUAUUAAACGACCAGUAUCGGAUUAUUUAGUUGGUGGGGUAACGGCUCGCAAGGCGACGAUCCGUAGCCAGUUUGAAGGACGACCAGCCACGCUGGGACUGAGACACGGCCCAGACUCCUACAGAGGAAGGCAGCAGUGAAAUUUUGGACAAAUAAAGGCUUCAGUCAGCCAUCCCACGUGCGAUGAAGGUAUUAGGUUCGCAAAACCUUUUGGCAGGAAAAGAAACGGCCUGGAUAAUACCCCGUGCAGCGGUGUACCUGCAGAAUAUAAGCACCGGCUAACUGCGUGCCAGCAGCCGCGGUGCAAUGCAUGGGUUGCCGUGUUAAUCGGAAUUACUGGGCGUAAAGCGUGCGCGAGCGGUUCGGAAAAGAUGUGAAAUCCCAGAGCUUGCUACAGGAACUGCAUUUUAAUACCGGAAGAAAACAAGAAAGGUGCUGUCAGGGAGGUGGAAUUUGCCGUCGCUGGUGAAAUGCGUAGAUAUACCCGAGGAGGAACACCGAUGGCGAAGGCAGCCUCCUGGGAUAACACUGACGCUCCUUGCACGAAAGCGUGGGAGCAAACAGGAUUAGAUACCCUGGUAGUCGCCUAAACGAUGUCAACUAGCUGUUGGGGCCUUCGGGCGCUUGGUAGCGCAGCUAACGCGUGAAGUUGACCGCCUGGGGAGUACGGUCGCAAGAUUAAAAUAAAGGAAUUGACGGGGACCCGCACAAGCGGUGGAUGAUGUGGAUUAAUUCGAUGCAACGCGAAAAACCUUACCUACCCUUGACAUGUCUGGAAUCCCGAAGAGAUUUGGGAGUGCUCGCAAGAGAACCGGAACACACAGGUGCUGCAUGGCUGUCGUCAGCUCGUGUCGUGAGAUGUUGGGUUAAGUCCCGCAACGAGCACAACCCUUGUCAUUAGUUGCUACGAAAGGGCACUCUAAUGAGACUGCCGGUGACAAACCGGAGGAAGGUGGGGAUGACGUCAAGUCCUCAUGGCCCUUAUGGGUGGGGCUUCACACGUCAUACAAUGGUCGGGACAGAGGGUCGCCAACCCGCGAGGGGAGCCAAUCCCAGAAACCCGAUCGUAGUCCGGAUCGCAGUCUGCAACUCGACUGCGUGAAGUCGGAAUCGCUAGUAAUCGCGGAUCAGCAUGUCGCGGUGAAUACGUUCCCGGGUCUUGUACCUGCUUCAUCACCAUAGGGUGGUUUACCAGAAGUAGUUAGCUAACCGUAAGGAGGCGAUUACCACGGUAGGAUUCAUGACUGGGGUGAAGUCGUAACAAGGUAG
Molecule: ribosomal RNA, 1533 nt
Filed under: uncultured Bordetella sp.
Lineage: Bacteria; Pseudomonadati; Pseudomonadota; Betaproteobacteria; Burkholderiales; Alcaligenaceae
Description: partial 16S-23S ribosomal RNA intergenic spacer
Rfam family: Bacterial small subunit ribosomal RNA
Source: RNAcentral